GAUUAAGUUAUUAAGGGCGCACGGUGGAUGCCUUGGCACUAGAAGCCGAUGAAGGACGUUACUAACGACGAUAUGCUUUGGGGAGCUGUAAGUAAGCUUUGAUCCAGAGAUUUCCGAAUGGGGAAACCCAGCAUGAGUUAUGUCAUGUUAUCGAUAUGUGAAUACAUAGCAUAUCAGAAGGCACACCCGGAGAACUGAAACAUCUUAGUACCCGGAGGAAGAGAAAGAAAAUUCGAUUCCCUUAGUAGCGGCGAGCGAAACGGGAAGAGCCCAAACCAACAAGCUUGCUUGUUGGGGUUGUAGGACACUCUAUACGGAGUUACAAAGGACGACAUUAGACGAAUCAUCUGGAAAGAUGAAUCAAAGAAGGUAAUAAUCCUGUAGUCGAAAAUGUUGUCUCUCUUGAGUGGAUCCUGAGUACGACGGAGCACGUGAAAUUCCGUCGGAAUCUGGGAGGACCAUCUCCUAAGGCUAAAUACUCUCUAGUGACCGAUAGUGAACCAGUACCGUGAGGGAAAGGUGAAAAGCACCCCGGAAGGGGAGUGAAAUAGAACCUGAAACCGUGUGCUUACAAGUAGUCAGAGCCCGUUAAUGGGUGAUGGCGUGCCUUUUGUAGAAUGAACCGGCGAGUUACGAUUUGAUGCAAGGUUAAGCAGUAAAUGUGGAGCCGUAGCGAAAGCGAGUCUGAAUAGGGCGUUUAGUAUUUGGUCGUAGACCCGAAACCAGGUGAUCUACCCUUGGUCAGGUUGAAGUUCAGGUAACACUGAAUGGAGGACCGAACCGACUUACGUUGAAAAGUGAGCGGAUGAACUGAGGGUAGCGGAGAAAUUCCAAUCGAACCUGGAGAUAGCUGGUUCUCUCCGAAAUAGCUUUAGGGCUAGCCUCAAGUGAUGAUUAUUGGAGGUAGAGCACUGUUUGGACGAGGGGCCCCUCUCGGGUUACCGAAUUCAGACAAACUCCGAAUGCCAAUUAAUUUAACUUGGGAGUCAGAACAUGGGUGAUAAGGUCCGUGUUCGAAAGGGAAACAGCCCAGACCACCAGCUAAGGUCCCAAAAUAUAUGUUAAGUGGAAAAGGAUGUGGCGUUGCCCAGACAACUAGGAUGUUGGCUUAGAAGCAGCCAUCAUUUAAAGAGUGCGUAAUAGCUCACUAGUCGAGUGACACUGCGCCGAAAAUGUACCGGGGCUAAACAUAUUACCGAAGCUGUGGAUUGUCCUUUGGACAAUGGUAGGAGAGCGUUCUAAGGGCGUUGAAGCAUGAUCGUAAGGACAUGUGGAGCGCUUAGAAGUGAGAAUGCCGGUGUGAGUAGCGAAAGAAGGGUGAGAAUCCCGUCCACCGAUUGACUAAGGUUUCCAGAGGAAGGCUCGUCCGCUCUGGGUUAGUCGGGUCCUAAGCUGAGGCCGACAGGCGUAGGCGAUGGAUAACAGGUUGAUAUUCCUGUACCACCUAUAAUCGUUUUAAUCGAUGGGGGGACGCAGUAGGAUAGGCGAAGCGUGCGAUUGGAUUGCACGUCUAAGCAGUAAGGCUGAGUAUUAGGCAAAUCCGGUACUCGUUAAGGCUGAGCUGUGAUGGGGAGAAGACAUUGUGUCUUCGAGUCGUUGAUUUCACACUGCCGAGAAAAGCCUCUAGAUAGAAAAUAGGUGCCCGUACCGCAAACCGACACAGGUAGUCAAGAUGAGAAUUCUAAGGUGAGCGAGCGAACUCUCGUUAAGGAACUCGGCAAAAUGACCCCGUAACUUCGGGAGAAGGGGUGCUCUUUAGGGUUAACGCCCAGAAGAGCCGCAGUGAAUAGGCCCAAGCGACUGUUUAUCAAAAACACAGGUCUCUGCUAAACCGUAAGGUGAUGUAUAGGGGCUGACGCCUGCCCGGUGCUGGAAGGUUAAGAGGAGUGGUUAGCUUCUGCGAAGCUACGAAUCGAAGCCCCAGUAAACGGCGGCCGUAACUAUAACGGUCCUAAGGUAGCGAAAUUCCUUGUCGGGUAAGUUCCGACCCGCACGAAAGGCGUAACGAUUUGGGCACUGUCUCAACGAGAGACUCGGUGAAAUCAUAGUACCUGUGAAGAUGCAGGUUACCCGCGACAGGACGGAAAGACCCCGUGGAGCUUUACUGUAGCCUGAUAUUGAAAUUCGGCACAGCUUGUACAGGAUAGGUAGGAGCCUUUGAAACGUGAGCGCUAGCUUACGUGGAGGCGCUGGUGGGAUACUACCCUAGCUGUGUUGGCUUUCUAACCCGCACCACUUAUCGUGGUGGGAGACAGUGUCAGGCGGGCAGUUUGACUGGGGCGGUCGCCUCCUAAAAGGUAACGGAGGCGCUCAAAGGUUCCCUCAGAAUGGUUGGAAAUCAUUCAUAGAGUGUAAAGGCAUAAGGGAGCUUGACUGCGAGACCUACAAGUCGAGCAGGGUCGAAAGACGGACUUAGUGAUCCGGUGGUUCCGCAUGGAAGGGCCAUCGCUCAACGGAUAAAAGCUACCCCGGGGAUAACAGGCUUAUCUCCCCCAAGAGUUCACAUCGACGGGGAGGUUUGGCACCUCGAUGUCGGCUCAUCGCAUCCUGGGGCUGUAGUCGGUCCCAAGGGUUGGGCUGUUCGCCCAUUAAAGCGGUACGCGAGCUGGGUUCAGAACGUCGUGAGACAGUUCGGUCCCUAUCCGUCGUGGGCGUAGGAAAUUUGAGAGGAGCUGUCCUUAGUACGAGAGGACCGGGAUGGACAUACCUCUGGUGUACCAGUUGUCGUGCCAACGGCAUAGCUGGGUAGCUAUGUGUGGACGGGAUAAGUGCUGAAAGCAUCUAAGCAUGAAGCCCCCCUCAAGAUGAGAUUUCCCAACUUCGGUUAUAAGAUCCCUCAAAGAUGAUGAGGUUAAUAGGUUCGAGGUGGAAGCAUGGUGACAUGUGGAGCUGACGAAUACUAAUCGAUCGAAGACUUAAUCAA
Molecule: ribosomal RNA, 2923 nt
Filed under: Staphylococcus aureus
Lineage: Bacteria; Bacillati; Bacillota; Bacilli; Caryophanales; Staphylococcaceae
Description: 23S ribosomal RNA
Rfam family: Bacterial large subunit ribosomal RNA
Source: RNAcentral